CCCUAAACUUAGAUAUUUUAACACACAAAAAUAUCCGCCAGAGAACUACGAGCAAAAUGCUUAAAACUCUAAGGACUUGGCGGUACCUCAAACCCCCCUAGAGGAGCUUGUUCUAUAAAUCGAUAAUCCACGAUUCACCUCACCAUCUUUUGCCAAAUCCCGCCUAUAUACCGCCGUCACCAGCUUACCCCAUGAGGGAUAUAAAAGUAAGCAAAAUAACUAACAGUUAAUAAGUCAGGUCAAGGUGUAGCUAAUUAAGAUGGAAGAAAUGGGCUACAUUUUCUACUUUAGAAAUCAAUUCACGGAAGGGAACUAUGAAAUAAGUCCCACAAGCAGGAUUUAGCAGUAAACUGAGAUCAGAGUGCCCAAUUU
Molecule: ribosomal RNA, 372 nt
Filed under: Melanochelys trijuga edeniana
Lineage: Eukaryota; Metazoa; Chordata; Testudines; Geoemydidae
Description: partial 12S ribosomal RNA
Rfam family: Bacterial small subunit ribosomal RNA
Source: RNAcentral